RNAcentral lists this ribosomal RNA (365 nucleotides) under uncultured eukaryote. Its description in RNAcentral is "partial 18S ribosomal RNA". It matches the Rfam family "Eukaryotic small subunit ribosomal RNA", at positions 592 to 975 of the family's 1831-position model. The record is from RNAcentral.
CAAUAGCGUAUAUUAAAGUUGUUGCAGUUAAAAAGCUCGUAGUUGAAUUUCUGGCGGGCGCGCCGGUCUUCCAAGUGUUGUACUGGGCGCAGUCCGCCAUCCUUGUGGAGAGGGCUCGCAUUGAGUUGCGUGUCGGAUCUGCAUCAUUUACUGUGAAAAAAUUAGAGUGUUUAAAGCAGGCUAUCGCUUGAAUACAUUAGCAUGGAAUAAUAAGAUAGGACUUCGGUCUAUUUUGUUGGUUGCGAACCGAGGUAAUGAUUAAUAGGGAUAGUUGGGGGUAUUCAUAUUUAAUUGUCAGAGGUGAAAUUCUUGGAUUUAUGAAAGAUGAACAACUGCGAAAGCAUUUACCAAGGAUGUUUUCAUUA